CCUACGGGAGGCAGCAGUGGGGAAUAUUGGGCAAUGGAGGCAACUCUUACCCAGCAAUGCCGCGUGAAUGCAGACGGUCUUCGGAUUGUAAAGUUCUUUAAUUGGGGACGAAAAAAAUGACGGUACCCAAGGAAUAAGCUCCGGCUAACUACGUACUAGCAGCCGCGGUAAUACGGAGGAUGCGAGCGUUAUCCGGCUAUAUUGGGUUUAAAGGUGGGUUAGGCGGUCCGGUAAGUCAGCGGUAAAAUUGCGGGGCUAAACCCGGUCGAGCCUUUGAAACUGGCAGACUUGAGUUGGCGAGAAGUACGCGGAAUGCGCGGUGUAGCAGUGAAAUGCAUAGAUAGCGCGCAGAACUCCGAUUGCGAAGGCAGCGUACCGGCGCCAGACUGACGCUGAGGCACGAAAGCGUGGGGAUCGAACAGGAUUAGAUACCCUUGUAGUC
This 442-nucleotide ribosomal RNA is filed under the name uncultured bacterium. RNAcentral describes it as "partial 16S ribosomal RNA". It matches the Rfam family "Bacterial small subunit ribosomal RNA", at positions 338 to 795 of the family's 1533-position model. The record is from RNAcentral.